GUAGCGAAAUUCCUUGUCGGGUAAGUUCCGACCUGCACGAAUGGCGUAACGACUUCCCCACUGUCUCGACCAGGAGCUCGGCGAAAUUGCAGUACGAGUAAAGAUGCUCGUUAAGCGCAGAAGGACGAAAAGACCCCGGGACCUUUACUAUACCUUGGUAUUGGCGUUAGGCGCGGAUUGUGUAGCAUAGGCGGGAGGCUUCGAAGCGUGGGCGCCAGCUCAUGUGGAGCCGCAAGGUGAAAUACCGCUCUGUUCUCGUUUGACGUCUAACCUCGACAAGUCAUCCUUGUCAGGGACAGUGCCUGGCGGGUAGUUCAACUGGGGCGGUUGCCUCCCAAAGAGUAACGGAGGCGCUCAAAGGUCCGCUCAGCCCGGUUGGCAAUCGGGUGUCGAGUGUAAUCGCACAAGCGGGCUUGACUGCGAGGACGACGGUCCGAGCAGGGACGAAAGUCGGAGAUAGUGAUCCGGUGCCGGCGCACGGGCGCGGCAUCGCUCAACGGAUAAAAGGUACCCCGGGGAUAACAGGCUGAUCAUUCCCAAGAGUCCAUAUCGACGGGAUGGUUUGGCACCUCGAUGUCGGCUCGUCGCAUCCUGGGGCUGGAGCAGGUCCCAAGGGUUCGGCUGUUCGCCGAUUAAAGCGGCACGCGAGCUGGGUUCAGAACGUCGUGAGACAGUUUGGUCUCUAUCCUCUGCGCUCGUUGGAAUCCUGAGGAGGCCUGCCCAUAGUACGAGAGGACCUGGGUGGACGAACCUCUGGUAUGCCGGUUGUCGCGCCAGCGGCACGGCCGGUUGGCUACGUUCGGGAGGGAUAACCGCUGAAAGCAUCUAAGCGGGAAGCCUGCUCCAAGAUUAGGAUUCCGUACGGUCUUGAACCGUUGUAGCCCGCAUGUUGAACACGUGUUUGAUAGGCCGGAGGUGGAAGCCCCGCGAGGGGUGGAGCCGACCGGUACUAACGGGCGAACGCGGCA
This 968-nucleotide ribosomal RNA is filed under the name Enterococcus durans. Its description in RNAcentral is "partial 23S ribosomal RNA". It matches the Rfam family "Bacterial large subunit ribosomal RNA", at positions 1956 to 2925 of the family's 2925-position model. Lineage: Bacteria; Bacillati; Bacillota; Bacilli; Lactobacillales; Enterococcaceae. The record is from RNAcentral.